GCGGGCAGGCUUAACACAUGCAAGUCGAGGGGUAUGGUUCUUCGGAACCAGAGACCGGCGCACGGGUGCGUAACGCGUAUGCAAUCUGCCUUUCACAGAGGGAUAGCCCAGAGAAAUUUGGAUUAAUACCUCAUAGUAUAGCGACAUCGCAUGAUGAUGCUAUUAAAGUCACAACGGUGAAAGAUGAGCAUGCGUCCCAUUAGCUAGUUGGUAAGGUAACGGCUUACCAAGGCAACGAUGGGUAGGGGUCCUGAGAGGGAGAUCCCCCACACUGGUACUGAGACACGGACCAGACUCCUACGGGAGGCAGCAGUGAGGAAUAUUGGUCAAUGGGCGCAAGCCUGAACCAGCCAUGCCGCGUGCAGGAUGACGGUCCUAUGGAUUGUAAACUGCUUUUGCACAGGAAGAAACACUGAUUCGUGAAUCAGCUUGACGGUACUGUGAGAAUAAGGAUCGGCUAACUCCGUGCCAGCAGCCGCGGUAAUACGGAGGAUCCAAGCGUUAUCCGGAAUCAUUGGGUUUAAAGGGUCCGUAGGCGGUCUGGUAAGUCAGUGGUGAAAGCCCAUCGCUCAACGGUGGAACGGCCAUUGAUACUGCUGGACUUGAAUUAUUAGGAAGUAACUAGAAUAUGUAGUGUAGCGGUGAAAUGCUUAGAGAUUACAUGGAAUACCAAUUGCGAAGGCAGGUUACUACUAAUGGAUUGACGCUGAUGGACGAAAGCGUGGGUAGCGAACAGGAUUAGAUACCCUGGUAGUCCACGCCGUAAACGAUGGAUACUAGCUGUUGGAAGCAAUUUCAGUGGCUAAGCGAAAGUGAUAAGUAUCCCACCUGGGGAGUU
Molecule: ribosomal RNA, 838 nt
Filed under: uncultured bacterium
Lineage: Bacteria
Description: bacterial SSU rRNA
Rfam family: Bacterial small subunit ribosomal RNA
Source: RNAcentral